UACGGAGGGUGCAAGCAUUAAUCGGAUUUAUUGGGCGUAAAGGGGGCGUAGGCGGAUGAGAAAGCAAGAUGUGAAAGCCCGGGGCUUAACCUCGGAACAGCAUUUUGAACUCCUUAUCUAGAGGGUAGGCGGAGAAAACGGAAUUCCACAUGUAGCGGUGAAAUGCGUAGAUAUGUGGAAGAACACCGGUGGUGAAGACGGUUUUCUAGCUUAUUCCUGACGCUAAGGCCCGAAAGCUAGGGGAGCAAACAGG
This 253-nucleotide ribosomal RNA is filed under the name uncultured bacterium. RNAcentral's name for it is "partial 16S ribosomal RNA". It matches the Rfam family "Bacterial small subunit ribosomal RNA", at positions 524 to 776 of the family's 1533-position model. The record is from RNAcentral.